Long non-coding RNA from Bombus huntii, 2634 nucleotides. RefSeq lists it as uncharacterized. The record is from RefSeq and is a predicted model, not a curated record. NCBI's taxonomy places the organism in Eukaryota, Metazoa, Arthropoda, Insecta, Hymenoptera, Apidae. The transcript is spliced from 3 exons.
CAGGAUCCGCUUCAAAAUCUUCUAUCAAAUGUUGAAAUCGUUUCUAUGAUGAGUCACUUUCGAAGAUUAACAAAAACGUCACGCGUUUAUUCUCUGUCGAACGAGUCGAGCCGGAAACUGUAAAUAAAACCAUGUGAUCAAGAUCUAGAGAAACAUAAUCUAGCGUACAAUAUUUGAAAUUUUGAGAUACUAGAAAAUAGAAAGUUACACUAACCUCUUAAAUGAGAAAAUUGAGUGUAUCUACUAGGUUAGAUUGUCGCUAAAAAACAAUUACAUUACAUUUAUCAAUUCAGUUUAAAAAUAUACCUUAUUAUACUUAUAAUAAUUUACCUUCCCUUAUUCAACUCAGUAAAUCAUUGCUGUAUCAUAUUUAUGAUUUAUACCAUCCUUUCUGCUCGUAAAUCACGUUUGAGGUUACGAAGAAAUGGUGGAUAGAUUAAGAGACAGUUAACACGCAUUUAUGCAGGAAUAAUGGCUAAUGUACCGAGUAAACAACAUAAAAAGAGAUAAAGGGAAACGUGUGGUGUUAUACAUACCGUAUGUUAUUGCUGAAAACAUCACAUCGAAGAUUAUCGAUAGUGAAUAUUAGAAAAUCGAUCGAAACCCGCCGGAUUCUGCAACUGCGAAACAAUAAGCUUGACAACAUUGCAUGGAAUUGUUGGUAUUGUUUCACACGUAAGAUCGAAUAAUAUUCAAUAUUCACGACAAUUCUUUUUUAUUAUUCCAAUAUCGUAUAAGCUAUCUGUCAAAAGCAAUCAGUGUUGCAAGCCGCUCUGUAUUGCAUAUGGUAUUGCAUGAAUACGAGAAUCGAUACAUCUCGCGCAUCGACCUUACAUCCUUUGCUAGUUAUCGAUUAAUAGCAGUGGGAAAUCGAAUAUCAAGUAACUUACAGAAGCAUCAUACGAUAGCCAUCUUAACUUUUUCGAUCUAGUUUAUCGUGUAGUUUCUAGAUUACGACUAAUUGGGUUUAGUUAAUCGAUUGAUAACUAAUAGGUAUUGAUAAGUGAUAAAGAGAAAUGUAAAAAGUGACAUUUUGUAGUGAAUUAGUUGUACAUAAAGCUAUAAUAGAAUAUGCGUUCGAGUAGUUUUGACGUGUGCGCGCGUUCCCUCGAGAGAGACCAGGAGAACCGAGUUCGAGCAGUCGUCUCGUGGAAAAAGUGACCAUUUAAUAACUCAGGAUCGAAUUAUGAUAUCAAGGCGGUGUUUUAAUGGCCGAGUGGCGCUUACCAUCGUCGGUGAUUCGUCAAGCAUGCAUUCGCCUUGUAGACACCCGGUAGACGAGCAACUACCCACGGAAACAGGCGGUCCGUGUUUCGCGUUGCGGCUGGAUUCAACAGGUGACACCUCGUCGGGACGCCAACGUGCGCCUAGACGCUCUGGAAUUUCCACGUUUUUCCCUGGAAUCGCGUUAUACCGAUCGAUGUUCGACGUAAGAGGUCGAGGAACUUUUAACUGUGAUUGUUCUCUCGAUGAGAUUCCUUGCAACAUUAUUUCUUCGUCGUUCAAAAUGAGACGUUAGAAGUUUUCGUGUUACGAAUAUUCUAACGAAACAAGUUCAACUUGUUUGUUGCCUCUACAACCUUAAAUCCAUUUUUUUUUUAUUUUAAUUUCUUUCUUACCGUGAAACCGAGACGAUGCGCCAGCGAAGUUACAAUUGAAGAAGCUUGGAUUGUGCAGAGUUUAGCAACUUAAUAAUAAUACAAUAAUGUAGUAUUUAUUGCAGAUUAGUUGAAACGGUAUAUUUCACAGUGUAAUAUAUUGUUCACAGCUGUGCAAACACGUGGUUGAUUCAAUGCAGCACCAGAGCAAAUAAUAGAGUCGCAAGAAUAAAGAUCUUAAUCAGCGACGAAGGAUCGUACGAUUGAGAUCCGUCUAGUCGUAUCGCUAAUGAAUUCGAAUAGAAUAUCAUAAAUACAUUUUGAAUGAGCACAUUGUGAAUGUAAUUUAACAUUCUAAAUUAAUAACUAUAGGUAAUUUCUGAAAGCCUAUCGUAGCUACGAUUUAGACAAAGCGCGUUAUUAAAUCAUCAACGUAACUAUAUGUCUUUACAUCUUUCUUUGAUCGACAGUCACUAACCGCUAAUCCGGCAAACUUAAAUUUACAUAGCUACACAUUUUCAAACCAAUAGAUAGAAGUCAAUGUAUAAUUGUUCCUUCAUUCUUUUACUAUAUAUGUUAUAAUUUCUGCAAAAGUUUCUCGAAUACCUGAUCGUUCAAUCAGAAUUUUCUAUGCCCAUGAAAUAACAAUUUAAUCACUUAACAAUCUGUGUUAAUUGUCGCGUUCUGUAUGAGACUGGAACAUGUCCCAAUAUGGGCGUAUGUAACGCGUAAUACGCAAUUAAUGUUCGAUAAAGGAUAAUAAAAAUGGAAGAAAACCAAAGAGAAGAAAUCUGAAAUCUGUUUGACGCGUUUGGUAGUUCAGCAUUAUUGCAAAACGAAAGACGAACAUGGAGGAAUCGCAAAAACCACAGAUAGCACUUUCGGUCGUGAAAACAGCGAUAUUUUCCACUCGUGACAAGUUUUUCGUCGCUUCGCCAGCGGCAGCAGGGAAUUUAAACGAGCGAAAUAAAUCUCGCGGCCCCUUUCGCGGCGUGGCUCUUACGAGCCUGUAUACGAUCGUUGUUACUAUGAUAAU